GUAAGGAAUAUUGGACAAUGGACGGAAGUCUGAUCCAGCCAUGCCGCGUGAAGGAAGAAGGCGCUCAGCGUUGUAAACUUCUUUUGAAUGGGAACAAACCACCUGGUUUACCGGGUGCUGAGGGUACCAUUAGAAUAAGCACCGGCUAACUCCGUGCCAGCAGCCGCGGUAAUACGGAGGGUGCAAGCGUUAUCCGGAAUCACUGGGUUUAAAGGGUGCGUAGGCGGUGGCGUAAGUCAGUUGUGAAAUUCCCCGGCUUAACCGGGGGCGUGCGAUUGAUACUGUGUCACUUGAAUAAGGUUGAGGUAGGCGGAAUGUGGCAUGUAGCGGUGAAAUGCAUAGAUAUGCCAUAGAACACCGAUUGCGAAGGCAGCUUGCUGGACCUUAAUUGACGCUGAGGCACGAAAGCGUGGGGAGCAAACAGGAUUAGAAACCCGGGUAGUCC
RNAcentral lists this ribosomal RNA (445 nucleotides) under uncultured bacterium. RNAcentral's name for it is "bacterial SSU rRNA". It matches the Rfam family "Bacterial small subunit ribosomal RNA", at positions 354 to 796 of the family's 1533-position model. The record is from RNAcentral.